RNAcentral lists this unclassified non-coding RNA (300 nucleotides) under uncultured Myrothecium. RNAcentral describes it as "sequence contains 5.8S rRNA gene, ITS2". The stretch from base 1 to 71 matches the Rfam family "5.8S ribosomal RNA", at positions 84 to 154 of the family's 154-position model. The record is from RNAcentral. Lineage: Eukaryota; Fungi; Ascomycota; Sordariomycetes; Hypocreales.
GUGAGUCAUCGAAUCUUUGAACGCACAUUGCGCCCGCCAGUAUUCUGGCGGGCAUGCCUGUUCGAGCGUCAUUUCAACCCUCAGGCCCCCAGUGCCUGGCGUUGGGGAUCGGCGCGGCGCCCUCCGGGGCGCUGCCGGCCCCGAAAUUCAGUGGCGGUCUCGCUGUAGCCCUCCUCCGCGUAGUAGCACAACCUCGCGGCCUGGAGCUCGGCGGUGGCCAUGCCGUAAAACACCCCACUUCUGAAAGUUGACCUCGGAUCAGGUAGGAAUACCCGCUGAACUUAAGCAUAUCAAUAAGCG